RNAcentral lists this ribosomal RNA (274 nucleotides) under uncultured bacterium. RNAcentral's name for it is "partial 16S ribosomal RNA". It matches the Rfam family "Bacterial small subunit ribosomal RNA", at positions 523 to 796 of the family's 1533-position model. The record is from RNAcentral.
AUACGGAGGGUGCAAGCGUUACUCGGAAUCACUGGGCGUAGAGCGCGCGCAGGCGGCUAUUUAAGUUGGAUGUGAAAGCCUACGGCUCAACCGUAGAACUGCAUCCAAAACUAUUUAGCUAGAGUGUGGGAGAGGAAGAUGGAAUUAGUUGUGUAGGGGUAAAAUCCGUAGAGAUAACUAGGAAUACCAAAAGCGAAGGCAAUCUUCUGGAACACUACUGACGCUGAGGCGCGAAAGCGUGGGGAGCAAACGGGAUUAGAAACCCUUGUAGUCC